AUCAACGGGUGCGCUUAAGGAACUUACCUGCGGUACUGCGGUGGAAUUGGAUAUUGCUGAUAAAACCGGAUACGGUCAUUAAGCUGCCUUCUUGAUGAUGAAAGGAGACCCCUGCUGAUAGCCUUGCGUCCUAUUACCUAGGUGUAUGGUUAACGGCCCGCCAAGGCGAAGAUAGGUAGCCGGCCUGAGAGGGUGGACGGCCACAAGGGGACUGAGAUCUGGUCGUUACUCCUACGGGAGGACUCCUUGGGGAAUAUGGGACAAUGGGGGCAUCCCUGAUCCGGCAAUUCUGUGUGCACGAAGACGGUUUUCGGAUUGGAAAAUGCUUUCCGCACGUAAAAAGUCUUGACGAGGCCUGCAAAGUGUGAACGUAUAAAUACCUGCCUGCAACCGCGGCUAUACGGUGGGCGAGCGUUAUCCCGAAUUAUUGGGCAUUAAGGGCAUCUCGGCGGUCUUUCAAGUCAGGGGUGAUUGCCUGCAGCUCAAGCGCAUGCCUGCCUUUGAAACUGAUAGCCUGGACUCCGGAUAGGUGGAGUUACUGCACUAUUACUUGUGAAAUUCAUGGAUAUGUGGAGGAAUGUCGAUAUCUAGAUAAUUCAUUGACCUAUGAAUGACGCUCAUUGCUAAAGCCGCUGGAUGGACUGGACUGAAUCUCAGGCUCUACACGCGUCGUAAC
RNAcentral lists this ribosomal RNA (676 nucleotides) under uncultured bacterium. RNAcentral's name for it is "bacterial SSU rRNA". It matches the Rfam family "Bacterial small subunit ribosomal RNA", at positions 98 to 806 of the family's 1533-position model. The record is from RNAcentral.